UAUACCCAAUCCUGACACAGGGAGGUAGUGACAAGAAAUAACAAUACAGGGCUAAUGUCUUGUAAUUGGAAUGAUGGUGACUUAAACCCUCACCAGAGUAGCAAUUGGAGGGCAAGUCUGGUGCCAGCAGCCGCGGUAAUUCCAGCUCCAAUAGCGUAUAUUAAACUUGUUGCAGUUAAAAAGCUCGUAGUUGUAUUUUUGCUGGAUUUUGUAUUGUCCUUUGGGUCAUUCUUGGUCUGGCUUUUGGCUUUUUGCCUUUUUACUUUGAGAAAAUUAGAGUGUUUCAAGCAGACGUUUGUCUUGAAUACUGUAGCAUGGAAUAAUAGAGUAGGACUUUGGUUCUAUUUUGUUGGUUUGUGAACCUUAGUAAUGGUUAAUAGGAACGGUUGGGGGCAUUCGUAUUU
This 404-nucleotide ribosomal RNA is filed under the name Babesia sp. RNAcentral's name for it is "SSU rRNA". It matches the Rfam family "Eukaryotic small subunit ribosomal RNA", at positions 440 to 899 of the family's 1831-position model. Lineage: Eukaryota; Apicomplexa; Aconoidasida; Piroplasmida; Babesiidae. The record is from RNAcentral.